AUUCCCCUCUCUGGCGCGUGAAGAGGUUGAUGUCUUAAAAACCCGUACGAUCUUUUUGGGGACUGUCCCUUGCUGUGGUGUGCAGGCCCAUUGCUUCUAGAAUGGGAAGUCUAAAGCAGUAAUACGGUUCCCCCCUAGAUGAACUAGGGUUUUUCUAAGUCUCAAUCUCCACGGCCAAGAUAGGGGAUAA
Molecule: non-coding RNA, 190 nt
Filed under: Deltaproteobacteria bacterium
Lineage: Bacteria; Pseudomonadati; Myxococcota; Myxococcia
Description: 6S RNA
Rfam family: 6S / SsrS RNA
About the family: E. coli 6S RNA was the first non coding RNA to be sequenced, but its function was unknown until recently.
Source: RNAcentral